AAUCUACUGUACCUCCCACACGCGAGAGCUCUACUCCUUAUCGCUUUCGUAUAUAUCCACUGCCAGCACUCACUCCUCGAACUCAGCAAUUUGCUUACCUCUGCGAAUCCUUUAUAGCUCAUGUUUAUGCUCUGAUAAUCACAUUUCGUAAAGCUUAAAUUUUUUAUGGUAUUCUUGUAUAGUUGUUUUGUGGGGUGAAAGAGAGAGACACACACUGAGGGACAGGGAGAGAUGGAUUACGCAGCAGAUGCCCACCGGACUGAUUUGAUGACCAUAACGAGGUAUGUAUUGAAUGAGCAAUCAAAGCACCCGGAUUCGCGUGGGGAUUUCAGUAUUUUGCUCAAUCAUAUUGUUCUUGGCUGCAAAUUCGUUUGCUCUGCUGUUAACAAGGCGGGUCUUGCCAAGCUUAUUGGGCUUGCUGGGGAGACAAAUGUUCAGGGUGAAGAGCAAAAGAAACUGGAUGUGCUUUCAAAUGAAGUAUUCAUCAACGCUUUAGUAAGCAGUGGUCGAACUUGUAUACUUGUCUCUGAAGAAGAUGAGGAGGCAACAUUUGUGGAGCCUGAAAAGCGUGGAAAGUACUGUGUUGUUUUUGAUCCGUUGGAUGGAUCCUCCAACAUUGACUGUGGCGUUUCAAUUGGAACGAUCUUUGGGAUUUACAUGGUGAAACAUGGCCAUGAACCAACUCUAGAUGAUGUUUUGCAACCUGGGAAAAAUAUGGUAGCAGCUGGCUACUGCAUGUAUGGAAGCUCUUGCACGCUUGUUUUGAGCACUGGAAGUGGUGUUAAUGGCUUCACCCUUGAUCCAUCCCUUGGGGAGUUCAUACUCACACACCCUGAUAUUAAGAUUCCAAAGAAAGGAAAAAUUUAUUCAGUAAAUGAAGGAAAUGCUAAGAACUGGGAUGGUCCAACUGCUAAGUACGUGGAAAAAUGCAAGUUCCCUGAGGAUGGUUCCUCACCAAAGUCUCUAAGAUACAUUGGAAGUAUGGUAGCUGAUGUCCAUCGCACAUUACUUUAUGGGGGGAUAUUUUUGUACCCUGCUGACAAGAAGAGUCCCAAUGGGAAACUGCGUGUGCUUUAUGAAGUCUUUCCAAUGUCUUUUUUGAUGGAACAAGCAGGAGGUCAAUCUUUUACCGGCAAGCAAGGGGCACUUGACUUGGUUCCAGAGAAGAUACAUCAGCGGUCUCCAAUAUUUCUGGGAAGCUAUGAUGAUGUUGAGGAAAUCAAAGCACUCUAUGCUGCUGAAAAGCAGAGUGUAUAAAGAAUCAUUCUCUUAUAAUGCUUACAUAGCCUUAUUAACUGUACAGUGGCUACUUGACCACCCUUCUUCUAAUCAUAUAUUGUGUUAAUAUUCAAUUUCGAAGUUCAGGAUUUGGGAGUCCGUGCCGUCGAUGAAGAACUCAGUUUGGAGAUGAUUCAGAUAAAAACAUAAUAACAGAGGGUCAUAGUGUGUGCUACGACGGGUUUUCAAGAAUGACUGUUAAUAUUCUUUUCUUCUCUCUCUUAUGUGGGUUUGAUUUGGAUUCUUUGAUUCUUUUUUUUGUGGGUUUGAUUAUAAUGGAAAAGAGAGUACCAUUGUUAAGAAUGAAAUUUGAAUUGGAAAUUUUUGAUGAUUGAAUUUUCUCAGACAACUUAUAUAAAAAUUAUUUCUUGCA
This is an RNA transcript of Hevea brasiliensis (rubber tree), 1651 nucleotides long. It is a transcript of the gene named fructose-1,6-bisphosphatase, cytosolic, with no coding region annotated. The record is from RefSeq and is a predicted model, not a curated record. Lineage: Eukaryota; Viridiplantae; Streptophyta; Magnoliopsida; Malpighiales; Euphorbiaceae. The transcript has 13 exons.